Molecule: ribosomal RNA, 265 nt
Filed under: uncultured bacterium
Lineage: Bacteria
Description: partial 16S ribosomal RNA
Rfam family: Bacterial small subunit ribosomal RNA
Source: RNAcentral
GUCCACGCCGUAAACGAUGGGCACUAGGUGUGGGAGGUGUCGACUCCUCCCGUGCCGGAGCUAACGCAUUAAGUGCCCCGCCUGGGGAGUACGGCCGCAAGGCUAAAACUCAAAGGAAUUGACGGGGACCCGCACAAGCAGCGGAGCAUGUGGUUUAAUUCGACGCAACGCGAAGAACCUUACCUGGGUUUGACAUGUUCCUGACCGCCGUGGAAACACGGUUUCCCUUUAUUGGGCAGGAUCACAGGUGGUGCAUGGCUGUCGU